RNAcentral lists this ribosomal RNA (253 nucleotides) under uncultured bacterium. RNAcentral describes it as "partial 16S ribosomal RNA". It matches the Rfam family "Bacterial small subunit ribosomal RNA", at positions 524 to 776 of the family's 1533-position model. The record is from RNAcentral.
UACGUAGGGGGCAAGCGUUAUCCGGAUUUACUGGGUGUAAAGGGAGCGCAGACGGCAGUGCAAGUCAGAUGUGAAAGCCCGGGGCUCAACCCCGGGACUGCAUUUGAAACUGUCAGGCUGGAGUGCAGGAGAGGUAAGUGGAAUUCCUAGUGUAGCGGUGAAAUGCGUAGAUAUUAGGAGGAACACCAGUGGCGAAGGCGGCUUACUGGACUGUAACUGACGUUGAGGCUCGAAAGCGUGGGGAGCAAACAGG